RNAcentral lists this ribosomal RNA (229 nucleotides) under uncultured bacterium. RNAcentral's name for it is "partial 16S ribosomal RNA". It matches the Rfam family "Bacterial small subunit ribosomal RNA", at positions 568 to 796 of the family's 1533-position model. The record is from RNAcentral.
CACGCAGGCGGUUUCUUAAGUCCUUUGUGAAAGCCCGGGGCUCAACCCCGGAAUUGCAUCGGAUACUGGGAGACUGGAGACUGGUAGAGGCUAGCGGAAUUCCUGGUGUAGCGGUGGAAUGCGUAGAUAUCAGGAAGAACACCUGUGGCGAAGGCGGCUAGCUGGGCCAGUUCUGACGCUCAUGUGCGAAAGCGUGGGGAGCAAACAGGAUUAGAUACCCUGGUAGUCC